GUCUUUGAUGCUGCUGAGCAGAUGGAACCCUGAGAACCUCUGAGCUCUGCUGCUUCACUCUCUGUCCAUCAGAGGGAUGCUGUCCUCUAAAAUCAGUAGGUUUCUCCAUGGACCAGUCACUCUUCAGGGACACACAGCUGGGUCCAGGUCCAGACAGUGAAGCAGCAGAGCUCAGAGGUUCUCAGGGUUCCAUCUGCUCAGCAGCAUCAAAGACGGCUGAACCACAUGUUUACGGUCUGUUGACGUCCAUCUGAUGUCCUCAUUGGACAGUUUGUUCAUAAUGUCUCCAUGCUGCAGCAACAAACACUUGGAUGAUGUUUAUGUUCAUCAGUCCAUCAUUCAUGGAUUCAUCAACAGGGACACACU
Long non-coding RNA from Thalassophryne amazonica, 366 nucleotides. RefSeq lists it as uncharacterized. The transcript has 4 exons. NCBI's taxonomy places the organism in Eukaryota, Metazoa, Chordata, Actinopteri, Batrachoidiformes, Batrachoididae. The record is from RefSeq and is a predicted model, not a curated record.